This 487-nucleotide ribosomal RNA is filed under the name uncultured bacterium. Its description in RNAcentral is "bacterial SSU rRNA". It matches the Rfam family "Bacterial small subunit ribosomal RNA", at positions 19 to 518 of the family's 1533-position model. The record is from RNAcentral.
AUGGCUCAGGAUGAACGCUGGCGGCGUGCCUAACACAUGCAAGUCGAGCGGAGAUAGUUGAAGCCUAGCGAUGACUAUCUAGCGGCGGAUGGGUGAGUAACACGUGGGUAACCUGCCCUGUACUGGGGAAUAACAGCUGGAAACGGCUGUUAAUGCCGCAUAUGCGCACGGAGCCGCAUGGCCCUGGGCGGAAAGAUUUAUCGGUACAGGAUGGGCCCGCGCCGGAUUAACUAGUUGGCGGGGUAACGGCCCACCAAGGUGAUGAUCCGUAGCCGACCUGAGAGGGUGACCGGCCACAUUGGGACUGAGACACGGCCCAAACUCCUACGGGAGGCAGCAGUGGGGGAUAUUGCACAAUGGGGGAAACCCUGAUGCCAGCGACGCCGCGUGAAGGAUGACGUAUUUCGGUAUGUAAACUUCUAUCAGCGGGGAAGAAGAUGACGGUACCCGACUAAGAAGCCCCGGCUAACUACGUGCCAGCAGCUGC